Molecule: ribosomal RNA, 387 nt
Filed under: uncultured bacterium
Lineage: Bacteria
Description: bacterial SSU rRNA
Rfam family: Bacterial small subunit ribosomal RNA
Source: RNAcentral
AAUGAACGUUGGCGGCAUGGAUUAGGCAUGCAAGUCGAGCGGUAAGGCCCCGCAAGGGGUACACGAGCGGCGUAAGGGACAGUAAUGUGUAGGUACGUACCUCCGGGCCUGGGAUAGCUGCGGGAAACUGCAAUUAAUACCAGAUGAUGUCUCCGGACCAAAAGGUGUGAUUCCGCCGGGAGAGCGGCCUACAUCCUAUUAGCUAGUUGGCGGGGUAACGGCCCACCAAAGGCUCAGAUGGGUAGCAGGUGUGAGAGCACGACCUGCGUCACUGGGACUGAGACACUGCCCAGACACCUACGGGUGGCUGCAGUCGAGAAUCUUCGGCAAUGAGCGCAAGGCUUGACCGAGCAAUGCCGCGUGCGGGAAAGAAGGCCUGGUGUAACG